CCUCAUUUUCUCUCCCUCACAGCUGCAACCCCUUCCCUUCUCUCUUUCUCUCUUCUCUCAUCCUUCUCUUCCUCCAUAAACUUCGAACACGACUGCCGCCUCCGGAGCAGUACACCGGACAACUGUCGACCCUCCUCCCCCUCUCUUAUGCCGCCGUCGUUGCAGUCCAAUGUGAUAUGAACCAUCUGUUCACUCUUGAAACACUUGAUUGGUAUUCAAACAAACGUCUGAUAGAGGUCAGCAAAAAUAUGAAGAUGGAAAGCACAAAGAAAUGAAAUACUCGCUCGGGUGAAUUAGCCUAAGAUGAAACCUGAUUAUAGCUGGAUAUAUCAACGAAAUAUUAAUAAUAGAAUGGGUGAUGCUGAGAUUGAAGAUGCGGAUGAUGAGUUGUAGUUUUUGUAUUUUCUAUGUUUUAUAGUUUAGAUUUGGAACCUCGAUAAAUUUUGUAAAUAAUUUGAUUUUUAAUGUUUGUAUUCUUAUGGUGGUUGGUUGAUUGUAUAUUAAAUGAGUAGUGGGUUGUAUUAUAAAUAAUUUAAUUUGAUUUUUAAUGAUUGUAUAUGAUUGGUGGCCUGUAUUGUAAA
Molecule: long non-coding RNA, 581 nt
Organism: Capsicum annuum
Lineage: Eukaryota; Viridiplantae; Streptophyta; Magnoliopsida; Solanales; Solanaceae
Exons: 3
Source: RefSeq, a predicted model, not a curated record